UACGUAGGGGACGAGCGUUGUCCGGAAUUACUGGGGCGUAAAGGGCGCGCAGGCUGCGUUACAAGUCAGCUGUUAAAUGCAUGGGCUUACCCCAUGAGUGCGGUUGAAACUGUAGUGCUAGAGUACUGUAGAGGCAAGCGGAAUUCCCAGUGUAGCGGUGAAAUGCGUAGAUAUUGGGAGGAAUACCGGUGGCGAAGGCGACUUUCUGGACUGUAACUGACACUGAGGCACGAAAGCGUGGGUAGGCAAACAGGAUUAGAUACCCCGGUAGU
This 272-nucleotide ribosomal RNA is filed under the name uncultured prokaryote. Its description in RNAcentral is "partial 16S ribosomal RNA". It matches the Rfam family "Bacterial small subunit ribosomal RNA", at positions 524 to 794 of the family's 1533-position model. The record is from RNAcentral.